AGAGUUUGAUCCUGGCUCAGAACGAACGCUGGCGGCAUGCCUAACACAUGCAAGUCGAACGAGACCUUCGGGUCUAGUGGCGCACGGGUGCGUAACGCGUGGGAAUCUGCCCUUGGGUUCGGAAUAACAGCUAGAAAUGGCUGCUAAUACCGAAUAAUGACGUAAGUCCAAAGAUUUAUCGCCCAAGGAUGAGCCCGCGUAGGAUUAGCUAGUUGGUGAGGUAAAAGCUCACCAAGGCGACGAUCCUUAGCUGGUCUGAGAGGAUGAUCAGCCACACUGGGACUGAGACACGGCCCAGACUCCUACGGGAGGCAGCAGUGGGGAAUAUUGGACAAUGGGCGAAAGCCUGAUCCAGCAAUGCCGCGUGAGUGAUGAAGGCCUUAGGGUUGUAAA
This 393-nucleotide ribosomal RNA is filed under the name uncultured bacterium. RNAcentral's name for it is "bacterial SSU rRNA". It matches the Rfam family "Bacterial small subunit ribosomal RNA", at positions 8 to 429 of the family's 1533-position model. The record is from RNAcentral.